RNAcentral lists this ribosomal RNA (441 nucleotides) under uncultured bacterium. Its description in RNAcentral is "partial 16S ribosomal RNA". It matches the Rfam family "Bacterial small subunit ribosomal RNA", at positions 338 to 795 of the family's 1533-position model. The record is from RNAcentral.
CCUACGGGGGGCAGCAGUGGGGAAUUUUGCGCAAUGGGGGAAACCCUGACGCAGCAACGCCGCGUGCGGGACGAAGGCCCUCGGGUCGUAAACCGCUUUCAGCAGGGAAGACCUUACGACGGUACCUGCAGAAGAAGCCCCGGCUAACUACGGGCCAGCAGCCGCGGGAAUACGUAGGGGGCGAGCGUUAUCCGGAUUCAUUGGGCGUAAAGCGCGCGUAGGCGGCCGCCUAAGCGGAACCUCUAACCCCGGGGCUAAACCUCGGGCCGGGUUCCGGACUGGGCGGCUCGAGUGCGGUAGAGGCGGGCGGAAUUCCUGGUGUAGCGGUGGAAUGCGCAGAUAUCAGGAAGAACACCGAUGGCGAAGGCAGCUCUCUGGGCCGUAACUGACGCUGAGGCGCGAAAGCUGGGGGAGCGAACAGGAUUAGAUACCCUUGUAGUC